RNAcentral lists this ribosomal RNA (98 nucleotides) under Shewanella sp. OPT22. RNAcentral's name for it is "partial 23S ribosomal RNA". The record is from RNAcentral. Lineage: Bacteria; Pseudomonadati; Pseudomonadota; Gammaproteobacteria; Alteromonadales; Shewanellaceae.
UAGGACGUUGAUAGGCAAGGUGUGUAAGCGUUGUGAGGCGUUGAGCUAACUUGUACUAAUGACUCGUGAGGCUUAACCAUACAACCCUAAUGGGUUUU